This 224-nucleotide unclassified non-coding RNA is filed under the name Carex esenbeckii. RNAcentral describes it as "ITS2". Lineage: Eukaryota; Viridiplantae; Streptophyta; Magnoliopsida; Poales; Cyperaceae. The record is from RNAcentral.
GCCCAUCCACGCUCGGUUGCCUCAGGGCAAAAAGAUGCGGACAUUGGCCCUCCGAACCGCGAGGUGCGGUGGGCCCAAGUGUGCGGCCGUCGUGUGUGGCCGGGAGCGGCGAGUGGUGGGCUACUGCGCACGUCACCCCGAGCUCCGUACCGACACAGGGCCUUGUUUGACCCCAUAACGAGGAGCAUGCCGUCGCGGCCUGUGCUGCGCGGCGCCUUCGGACC